This 452-nucleotide ribosomal RNA is filed under the name uncultured bacterium. RNAcentral's name for it is "bacterial SSU rRNA". It matches the Rfam family "Bacterial small subunit ribosomal RNA", at positions 39 to 473 of the family's 1533-position model. The record is from RNAcentral.
GGCCGGGGGGAUUCGAUUAGGCCUAACACAUGCAAGUCGAACGGCAGCACGGGUGCUUGCACCUGGUGGCGAGUGGCGAACGGGUGAGUAAUAUAUCGGAACGUACCUUAUUGUGGGGGAUAACGCAGCGAAAGCUGUGCUAAUACCGCAUAAUCCCUAAGGGGGAAAGCGGGGGACCGUAAGGCCUCGCGCAAUUAGAGCGGCCGAUACCUGAUUAGCUAGUUGGUGAGGUAAAGGCUCACCAAGGCAACGAUCAGUAGCUGGUCUGAGAGGACGAUCAGCCACACUGGGACUGAGACACGGCCCAGACUCCUACGGGAGGCAGCAGUGGGGAAUUUUGGACAAUGGGGGCAACCCUGAUCCAGCAAGGCCGCGUGAGUGAAGAAGGCCUUAGGGUUGAAAUUUAAGAGGUCAGGGAAGAAACAGCAGCUCUAACACAGUUUGCGAAUGAC